This 468-nucleotide ribosomal RNA is filed under the name Triticum aestivum (bread wheat). Its description in RNAcentral is "partial small subunit ribosomal RNA". Lineage: Eukaryota; Viridiplantae; Streptophyta; Magnoliopsida; Poales; Poaceae. The record is from RNAcentral.
AUGGUUUAUAAUUGGACUCCACCGAUCAUUACGCAACUCCGGAAAAGGCAUCUUUUGAAAAAGAAACAGUUGGUGAAGAUUUGCAGAAUAUUCGGCUGGCGAGAUGGUACACAGGCGAUCAUUUCAGCAAGGCCAUUGCAAACGAGAGUGAUCAUCGGCGUCUCAAUCAGGGUGUGGACAAGACCAUUUGAGUGGAGGACAAGAAGAAGUGCAAUUUUGUUCCUUAAUGGACGGGGUGGAUGGUUGACCUGCUGGGUGAUCAUCUCUUCUCUCUUCCAUCCUCUUGAUUUACUUACCCUUAUCACCUUAUCACGUGAGCUUUGUCUGAUGUUUACGUUUGCUGUUGUUUUCCGUUCUCCACUGGCGCACUGUUGUGCACCAUGGAAUGUGUCUGUCGUCUUAAUUCGGAACUUGGUAGCGUGUGAGCUCUGGCACUGGCAGGCCGGCUGGUUCAUCACUCUCCUCUGA